Corvus hawaiiensis (hawaiian crow) is the source of this 105-nucleotide long non-coding RNA. RefSeq lists it as uncharacterized. The record is from RefSeq and is a predicted model, not a curated record. The transcript has 3 exons. NCBI's taxonomy places the organism in Eukaryota, Metazoa, Chordata, Aves, Passeriformes, Corvidae.
ACAGGUAACGCACAGGUGAGACAGGUGGGACAGGUGAGGGACAGGUAACGCACAGGUGAGACAGGUGAGCGACAGGUGAGACAGGUGGGACAGGUGAGGGACAGG